Molecule: ribosomal RNA, 397 nt
Filed under: uncultured bacterium
Lineage: Bacteria
Description: partial 16S ribosomal RNA
Rfam family: Bacterial small subunit ribosomal RNA
Source: RNAcentral
AUACGUAGGGGGCGAGCGUUGUCCGGAAUGAUUGGGCGUAAAGGGCGCGUAGGCGGCCGCUUAAGUCUGGAGUGAAAGUCCUGUUUUCAAGAUGGGAAUUGCUUUGGAUACUGGGGGGCUUGAGUGCAGGAGAGGUUAUCGGAAUUCCCGGUGUAGCGGUGAAAUGCGUAGAGAUCGGGAGGAACACCAGUGGCGAAGGCGGGUAACUGGACUGCAACUGACGCUGAGGCGCGAAAGUGUGGGGAGCAAACAGGAUUAGAUCCCCUGUUAGUCCACACUGUAAACGAUGAAUGCUAGGUGUAAGAGGUAUCGACCCCUUUUGUGCCGGAGUCAACACAAUAAGCAUUCCGCCUGGGGAGUACGGCCGCAAGGUUGAAACUCAAAUGAAUUGACGGGG